UAGAGUUUGAUCAUGGCUCAGAUUGAACGCUGGCGGCAUGCCUUACACAUGCAAGUCGAACGGUAACAGGUUAAGCUGACGAGUGGCGAACGGGUGAGUAAUACAUCGGAACGUGCCCAGACGUGGGGGAUAGCUCGGCGAAAGCCGGAUUAAUACCGCAUAAGCUCUGAGGAGGAAAGCGGGGGACCGUAAGGCCUCGCGCGUUUGGAGCGGCCGAUGGCAGAUUAGGUAGUUGGUGGGGUAAAGGCUUACCAAGCCUACGAUCUGUAGCUGGUCUGAGAGGACGACCAGCCACACUGGGACUGAGACACGGCCCAGACUCCUACGGGAGGCAGCAGUGGGGAAUUUUGGACAAUGGGCGAAAGCCUGAUCCAGCAAUGCCGCGUGCAGGAUGAAGGCCUUCGGGUUGUAAACUGCUUUUGUACGGAACGAAAAGGCGCCUACUAAUACUGGGUGUUGAUGACGGUACCGUAAGAAUAAGCACCGGCUAACUACGUGCCAGCAGCCGCGGUAAUACGUAGGGUGCGAGCGUUAAUCGGAAUUACUGGGCGUAAAGCGUGCGCAGGCGGUGUUGUAAGACAGUUGU
RNAcentral lists this ribosomal RNA (586 nucleotides) under Hylemonella sp. RNAcentral's name for it is "bacterial SSU rRNA". It matches the Rfam family "Bacterial small subunit ribosomal RNA", at positions 1 to 595 of the family's 1533-position model. The record is from RNAcentral. Lineage: Bacteria; Pseudomonadati; Pseudomonadota; Betaproteobacteria; Burkholderiales; Comamonadaceae.